RNAcentral lists this signal recognition particle RNA (193 nucleotides) under Clostridia bacterium. RNAcentral describes it as "signal recognition particle sRNA large type". The stretch from base 54 to 153 matches the Rfam family "Bacterial small signal recognition particle RNA". From Rfam's summary of the family: The signal recognition particle (SRP) is a universally conserved ribonucleoprotein involved in the co-translational targeting of proteins to membranes. Archaeal SRP consists of a 7S RNA and homologues of the eukaryotic SRP19 and SRP54 proteins. The record is from RNAcentral. Lineage: Bacteria; Bacillati; Bacillota; Clostridia.
CAUUCGGACAAGAUUCAUAGUAUAAUAAUUCUACCUUAAUUGGGUCGUGUGCCGUGUGGGUCCUGUGCGACAACGCUCCGUGAACCAUGUCAGGCGGGGAACCGAGCAGCAUUAAGCGGUCAGCGAGGUGCGCCGCAGAUUCACCUGCACGGUGCAUGACCGAGUUAAGGUAUUUUUUAUUGUUAGCCGGAUG